RNAcentral lists this ribosomal RNA (863 nucleotides) under Myxobolus sp. z GAB-2023. RNAcentral describes it as "SSU rRNA". It matches the Rfam family "Eukaryotic small subunit ribosomal RNA", at positions 157 to 898 of the family's 1831-position model. Lineage: Eukaryota; Metazoa; Cnidaria; Myxozoa; Bivalvulida; Myxobolidae. The record is from RNAcentral.
UCUAGAGCUAAUACAUGCACUUGUGCGUCAGGGGGGCGACUUCCUGGCGUUGGCAUUUAUUGGAUAGUUACCAACCGCAAUUUGCGUGGUGAAUCUAGAUAACUUUGCAGAUCGUAUGGCCUAGAGCCGGCGACGUUUCGACUGAAUUUCUGCCCUAUCAACUUUUGUCGGUAGUGUAGUGGACUACCGAGGUUUUUACGGGUGACGGGGAAUCAGGGUUCGAUUCCGGAGAGGGAGCCUGAGAAACGGCUACCACAUCCAAGGAAGGCAGCAGGCGCGCAAAUUACCCAAUCCAGACAAUGGGAGGUGGUGACGAGAAGUACCGGAUGACGGCCAAUGGUUGUCAAUCUGGAAUGGAAUCAAUUUAAGCAAUUGGUUGAGAAACUACUGGAGGGCAAGUCUGGUGCCAGCAGCCGCGGUAAUUCCAGCUCCAGUAGCGUACCUCAAAGUUGCUGCGCUUAAAACGCUCGUAGUUGGAUCACAGACUGUCCGCUGGUGGGUGUUUGCUCGGGUUCCAAGGUUGGGGACGUGUCGGUGUGUCAUCAUGCCGAUAUGGACCUACGUGGGGUCGAGUGGGCACCGUAAGCCGGUGGAUAGUAAUUGCACGUGAGGAUGUGCGUCGGCCUUGAGUGUGCUGACGUGUGUGUCUCACGGAGUGUGCCUUGAGUAAAUCAGAGUGCUUAAAGCAGGCUUUACGCUUGAAUGUUUUAGCAUGGAACGAACAAUAGUGUAUGGUGUAUGCUGGAUAUCGUGGGGGGUGCCUCGGUGCCCCGUGCGUCAGUGUACGACACCGACCUUCAAUUACGGAUGUUGGUACCGUAUUGGGGUACUGAUUAAGAGGAGCGGUUGGGGGCAUUGGUAUU